CGCGUAGGCGGUUUGCUAAGUCGGAUGUGAAAACUCUGGGCUCAACCCAGAGCCUGCAUCCGAAACUGGCAGGCUAGAGUUCUGGAGGGGGUAGCGGAAUUCCUGGUGUAGCGGUGAAAUGCGUAGAUAUCAGGAGGAACACCGGUGGCGAAGGCGGCUACCUGGACAGAAACUGACGCUGAGGCGCGAAAGCUAGGGAGCAAACA
Molecule: ribosomal RNA, 206 nt
Filed under: uncultured bacterium
Lineage: Bacteria
Description: partial 16S ribosomal RNA
Rfam family: Bacterial small subunit ribosomal RNA
Source: RNAcentral